UACGUAGGGUGCAAGCGUUGUCCGGAAUUACUGGGCGUAAAGGGCUCGUAGGCGGCCAACUAAGUCAGACGUGAAAUCCCUCGGCUUAACCGGGGAACUGCGUCUGAUACUGGAUGGCUUGAAUCCGGGAGAGGGAUGCGGAAUUCCAGGUGUAGCGGUGAAAUGCGUAGAUAUCUGGAGGAACACCGGUGGCGAAGGCGGCAUCCUGGACCGGUAUUGACGCUGAGGAGCGAAAGCCAGGGGAGCAAACGGG
Molecule: ribosomal RNA, 253 nt
Filed under: uncultured bacterium
Lineage: Bacteria
Description: partial 16S ribosomal RNA
Rfam family: Bacterial small subunit ribosomal RNA
Source: RNAcentral